RNAcentral lists this unclassified non-coding RNA (434 nucleotides) under Hevea brasiliensis (rubber tree). The record is from RNAcentral. Lineage: Eukaryota; Viridiplantae; Streptophyta; Magnoliopsida; Malpighiales; Euphorbiaceae.
AAAGAAAACUAAAUUGCAGACCAUCUAAUUCCUCUCCUGAAAAAAAUUGAAUGAAAAAAUAAAACUGAAAACUAAACAUAUGCUCAAGAAAGGGGGUAAAAAAAUGCAAGCUCACAACAUAGCUUUAACGUUAAAUUGGACACCAAAUGCUUAAUAAAGAAAGAAAAAGAAAUUAAAGGUGUUUGCAAUGGACUGCAAGCAAAAAACAAAACUCGAAUUUGUCCAUCAAUCAUGAACACAAGUCUCUGGGCAACAGAAGCAGCUAAAAAUGCACUGAAGCUGUCCCUUCCACUCUUUAUCAGUUUGAGUCCAACCAGUUCAGAAGGCUCCUUAGAUCUAACAAGAUAUAGAUUUGAAACCCAAGCUUCUUCCACUGGUAAUACAUAACUGCUGGAAACUGAAUGAUAUGAUCAAAGGAAACCGUUCGAGAAGAG